Small nuclear RNA from Monodelphis domestica (gray short-tailed opossum), 106 nucleotides. Lineage: Eukaryota; Metazoa; Chordata; Mammalia; Didelphimorphia; Didelphidae. The record is from Ensembl.
GCCUGUUUGUUUUCUUGUCUCUGUCUGUCUUGGAAUGAUAGAGACAAGCUUAGCAUGGCCUCUGCACAAGGAUGACAUGCAAAUUUGGGAAGGGUUCCAUAUUUCU